RNAcentral lists this ribosomal RNA (460 nucleotides) under uncultured bacterium. Its description in RNAcentral is "partial 16S ribosomal RNA". It matches the Rfam family "Bacterial small subunit ribosomal RNA", at positions 338 to 795 of the family's 1533-position model. The record is from RNAcentral.
CCUACGGGUGGCAGCAGUGAGGAAUAUUGGUCAAUGGACGCAAGUCUGAACCAGCCAUGCCGCGUGCAGGAAGACGGCUCUAUGAGUUGUAAACUGCUUUUGUACGAGGGUAAACUCAGAUACGCGUAUCUGUCUGCACGUAUCGUACGAAUAAGGAUCGGCUAACUCCGUGCCAGCAGCCGCGGUAAUACGGAGGAUUCAAGCGUUAUCCGGAUUUAUUGGGUUUAAAGGGGUCGUAGGCGGUCGGAUAAGUUAGAGGUGAAAUCCCGAGGCUCAACUUCGGAAUUGCCGUUGAUACUGUUCGGCUAGAGAGUAGUUGCGGUAGGCGGAAUGUAUGGUGUAGCGGUGAAAUGCUUAGAGAUCAUACAGAACACCGAUUGCGAAGGCAGCUUACCAAGCUACUUCUGACGUUGAGGCACGAAAGCGUGGGGAGCAAACGGGAUUAGAUACCCGGGUAGUC